Molecule: ribosomal RNA, 162 nt
Filed under: Triticum aestivum (bread wheat)
Lineage: Eukaryota; Viridiplantae; Streptophyta; Magnoliopsida; Poales; Poaceae
Description: partial small subunit ribosomal RNA
Source: RNAcentral
AUGUCCAAGGUUAAUAUGGAAAUUCUUUCAGAGGUUUUCCCUUACUUUGUCCGUGUUAACAAACAACUCAAAAUACCUCGACUUUUUCAGAACAGGUCUGAGUCAAAUAGCAAUGAUUCAAAGCACUUCUUUUUCCAUUACACUAUUUCAGAUCUCACCUGA